AGUGAACGCUGGCGGUAGGCCUAACACAUGCAAGUCGAACGGCAGCACAGUAAGUGCUUGCUCUUACGGGUGGCGAGUGGCGGACGGGUGAGGCAUAUAUCGUAAUCUACUUUUUCGUGGGGGAUAACGUAGCGAAACUUACGCUAAUACCGCAUACGACCUUCGGGUGAAAGCAGUGGAUCUUCGGACCUUGCGCGAUUGAAUUAGCCGAUGUCGGAUUAGUUAGUUGGCGGGGUGAAGGCCCACCAAGGCGACGAUCCGUAGCUGGUCUGAGAGGAUGGUCGGCGCCCAUGGAGCUGAGCCACGGUCCGGACUCCUACGGGAGGCGGCAGUGGAGAAUAGUGGACAAUGGGCGCAAGCCUGAUCCAGCCAUGCCGCGUGGGUGAAGGAGGCCUUCGGGUUGUAAUGCCCUUUUGUUGGGAAAGAAAAGCAGCAGGUUAAGACCCCGCUGUUGUGACGGUACCCGAAGAAUAAGCACCGGCUAACUUCGUG
RNAcentral lists this ribosomal RNA (492 nucleotides) under uncultured bacterium. RNAcentral's name for it is "partial 16S ribosomal RNA". It matches the Rfam family "Bacterial small subunit ribosomal RNA", at positions 29 to 507 of the family's 1533-position model. The record is from RNAcentral.